Long non-coding RNA from Homarus americanus (American lobster), 263 nucleotides. RefSeq lists it as uncharacterized. Lineage: Eukaryota; Metazoa; Arthropoda; Malacostraca; Decapoda; Nephropidae. The transcript has 3 exons. The record is from RefSeq and is a predicted model, not a curated record.
UUAAGAUUUUGUAGUAGUUUAUUUUCAGAAAAUAGCAACCGAAAGGAAGUCGCAGUGGGCUGCCGCAUGAGCGUUAAGUUGGAGCCAACUAGCGUGGGAAAGGUUGAUUUUUGCAGAGACGUGACCGGCACAGAGGUGUACGGAAGGCUUAUACUGUGGAAUAGAGAAGAGAACGUGGUCUAAGUUUGUAGGUGAUGGCUAGCGCGUCUACACUUGCGGUUGUUGUUGGAGGUGGAAGGAGCCGGUAUUUUUUUGAGGUAGAC